This 491-nucleotide ribosomal RNA is filed under the name uncultured bacterium. Its description in RNAcentral is "bacterial SSU rRNA". It matches the Rfam family "Bacterial small subunit ribosomal RNA", at positions 32 to 531 of the family's 1533-position model. The record is from RNAcentral.
AAUCAACGCUGGCGGCGUGCCUCAGACAUGCAAGUCGAACGAUUAAAGCUCUCUUCGGAGAGUGUAUAGAGUGGCGCACGGGUGAGUAACACGUAAGUAAUCUACCCUCGAGUGGGGAAUAACAACCGGAAACGGUUGCUAAUACCGCAUAAUGCAGCGGCACCGCAAGGUGACAGUUGUUAAAGAUUUAUCGCUUGAGGAGGAGCUUGCGGCAGAUUAGCUAGUUGGUAGGGUAACGGCUUACCAAGGCUACGAUCUGUAACCGGUCUAAGAGGACGGUCGGUCACACUGACACUGAAUAACGGGUCAGACUCCUACGGGAGGCAACAGUCGGGAAUUUUGGGCAAUGGGCGAAAGCCUGACCCAGCAACGCCGCGUGAAGGAUGAAGUAUUUCGGUAUGUAAACUCCGAAAGAAUAGGAAGAAUUAAUGACGGUACUAUUUAUAAGGUCCGGCUAACUACGUGCCAGCAGCCGCGGUAAAGUCUGUACU